Molecule: ribosomal RNA, 1292 nt
Filed under: Salmonella enterica subsp. enterica serovar Typhimurium
Lineage: Bacteria; Pseudomonadati; Pseudomonadota; Gammaproteobacteria; Enterobacterales; Enterobacteriaceae
Description: partial 23S ribosomal RNA
Rfam family: Bacterial large subunit ribosomal RNA
Source: RNAcentral
AGACCCGAAACCCGGUGAUCUAGCCAUGGGCAGGUUGAAGGUUGGGUAACACUAACUGGAGGACCGAACCGACUAAUGUUGAAAAAUUAGCGGAUGACCUGUGGCUGGGGGUGAAAGGCCAAUCAAACCGGGAGAUAGCUGGUUCUCCCCGAAAGCUAUUUAGGUAGCGCCUCGUGAAUUCAUCUCCGGGGGUAGAGCACUGUUUCGGCUAGGGGGCCAUCCCGGCUUACCAACCCGAUGCAAACUGCGAAUACCGGAGAAUGUUAUCACGGGAGACACACGGCGGGUGCUAACGUCCGUCGUGAAGAGGGAAACAACCCAGACCGCCAGCUAAGGUCCCAAAGUCAUGGUUAAGUGGGAAACGAUGUGGGAAGGCCCAGACAGCCAGGAUGUUGGCUUAGAAGCAGCCAUCAUUUAAAGAAAGCGUAAUAGCUCACUGGUCGAGUCGGCCUGCGCGGAAGAUGUAACGGGGCUAAACCAUGCACCGAAGCUGCGGCAGCGAACGUAUCACCCAAGACAACUUUACGGAGUUGACGAUUGACGGAGCGAAGCGACGUCAAAGCGUUCAUUAAAGUCGAGUUGGCUUAGGGAUACGUUCGUUGGGUAGGGGAGCGUUCUGUAAGCCUGUGAAGGUGUGUCGUGAGGCAUGCUGGAGGUAUCAGAAGUGCGAAUGCUGACAUAAGUAACGAUAAAGCGGGUGAAAAGCCCGCUCGCCGGAAGACCAAGGGUUCCUGUCCAACGUUAAUCGGGGCAGGGUGAGUCGACCCCUAAGGCGAGGCCGAAAGGCGUAGUCGAUGGGAAACGGGUUAAUAUUCCCGUACUUGGUGUUACUGCGAAGGGGGGACGGAGAAGGCUAUGUUGGCCGGGCGACGGUUGUCCCGGUUUAAGCGUGUAGGUGUGUGUUCCAGGUAAAUCCGGUUCACUUUAACACUGAGGCGUGAUGACGAGGCACUACGGUGCUGAAGCAACAAAUGCCCUGCUUCCAGGAAAAGCCUCUAAGCAUCAGGUAACAUCAAAUCGUACCCCAAACCGACACAGGUGGUCAGGUAGAGAAUACCAAGGCGCUUGAGAGAACUCGGGUGAAGGAACUAGGCAAAAUGGUGCCGUAACUUCGGGAGAAGGCACGCUGACACGUAGGUGAAGUGAUUUACUCACGGAGCUGAAGUCAGUCGAAGAUACCAGCUGGCUGCAACUGUUUAUUAAAAACACAGCACUGUGCAAACACGAAAGUGGACGUAUACGGUGUGACGCCUGCCCGGUGCCGGAAGGUUAAUUGAUGGGGUCAGCGCAAG